AGACCAAGAGGUUACCAUCUGAGAUCAGACUGAAGACAACACGGCCUUAAUGUCAGACCAACAGGUUACCAUCUGAGAUCAGACUGAAGACAACACGGCCUUAAUGUCAGACCAACAGGUUACCAUCUGAGAUCAGACUGAAGACAACACGGCCUUAAUGUCAGACCAACAGGUUACCAUCUGAGAUCAGACCAACAGGUUACCAUCUGAGAUCAGACUGAAGACAACACGGCCUUAAUGUCAGACCAACAGGUUACCAUCUGAGAUCAGACUGAAGACAACACGGCCUUAAUGUCAGACCAACAGGUUACCAUCUGAGAUCAGACUGAAGACAACACGGCCUUAAUGUCAGACCAACAGGUUACCAUCUGAGAUCAGACCAACAGGUUACCAUCUGAGAUCAGACCAACAGGUUACCA
This is a long non-coding RNA of Oncorhynchus tshawytscha (Chinook salmon), 419 nucleotides long. RefSeq lists it as uncharacterized. The record is from RefSeq and is a predicted model, not a curated record. The transcript is spliced from 3 exons. NCBI's taxonomy places the organism in Eukaryota, Metazoa, Chordata, Actinopteri, Salmoniformes, Salmonidae.